GCACAAGCAGCGGAGCGUGUGGUUUAAUUCGAUGCUACACGAAGAACCUUACCAGGGUUUGACAUGCAAGUGGUAGGAAUCUGAAAAGGGACCGACCCUUCGGGGAGCUUUGCACAGGUGCUGCAUGGCUGUCGUCAGCUCGUGUCGUGAGAUGUUCGGUUAAGUCCGCUAACGAGCGCAACCCUCACUGUGUGUUAUAUGUGUCACACGGGACUGCCGGUUUUAAGCCGGAGGAAGGUGGGAUGACGUCAAGUCAGCAUGGCCUUUAUAUCCUGGGCUACACACACGCUACAAUGGUCGGUACAAUAGGUUGCCAAGCCGCGAGGCGGAGCCAAUCCACAAAGCCGGCCUCAGUUCAGAUUGUAGGCUGCAACUCGCCUGCAUGAAGAUGGAGUUGCUAGUAACCGCAGGUCAGCAAUACUGCGGUGAAUACGUUCCCGGGUCUU
This 446-nucleotide ribosomal RNA is filed under the name uncultured Anaerolineaceae bacterium. Its description in RNAcentral is "bacterial SSU rRNA". It matches the Rfam family "Bacterial small subunit ribosomal RNA", at positions 923 to 1382 of the family's 1533-position model. The record is from RNAcentral. Lineage: Bacteria; Bacillati; Chloroflexota; Anaerolineae; Anaerolineales; Anaerolineaceae.